This 253-nucleotide ribosomal RNA is filed under the name uncultured bacterium. RNAcentral's name for it is "partial 16S ribosomal RNA". It matches the Rfam family "Bacterial small subunit ribosomal RNA", at positions 524 to 776 of the family's 1533-position model. The record is from RNAcentral.
UACGAAGGGGGCUAGCGUUGUUCGGAUUUACUGGGCGUAAAGCGCACGUAGGCGGAUUGUUAAGUCGGGGGUGAAAUCCUGGAGCUCAACUUCAGAAUUGCCUUCGAUACUGGCUUUCUAGAGGCUGGAAGAGGUUAGUGGAAUUCCCAGUGUAGAGGUGAAAUUCGUAGAUAUUCGGAGGAACACCAGUGGCGAAGGCGGCUCACUGGUCCAUUACUGACGCUGAGGUGCGAAAGCGUGGGGAGCAAACAGG